This is a long non-coding RNA of Passer domesticus (house sparrow), 783 nucleotides long. RefSeq lists it as uncharacterized. The record is from RefSeq and is a predicted model, not a curated record. NCBI's taxonomy places the organism in Eukaryota, Metazoa, Chordata, Aves, Passeriformes, Passeridae. The transcript has 3 exons.
GGAAAUAGGACUCCACUGAGGCUGUAAUUUCACCUUCUUGUCCUGGCUAGCCCAGCUCAGAGAAAGAACAACUUGUGGUUUACUUUUCAUUAUGGACAUCAACAGAACCCUUAGGAAUCAACAGUAAAUCUCUCAUUGAAUUCAGUUGCACAAGAUGAGGACCUGGAUUUGAAAAUUCAGCAGACACCCACCAGCAACUGAGGAAAGAAUCAGAGCAGACAACUUUUAGGCUUUUAUUUCUAUUCCUCUAUAGUCAAAACUUUUAAUAUGUGAGCUAUUGGUUUUUAACUGAACACAAAGGUUAGAAAGAAUCAUCCUCCAUCUUCUCACCCUCAAUUUUACCUGGGCUUCCUGACCUACAAACUAAAGAACUGCUGCAACAUGUCAGAAAGUGAAGCCAUUCUGAAAGGAUUAAGAUCUUUGCACUCGUGUUUUGUUGCAGACUAUAAUGUCAAAUUAAUAAGGCCUGCAGGAUCAUCAAACAUAGAAAUAAUCAUUGGGAACAUACAACUGAGAAGAAAUCUUAUGAAAAACGAGAUAAAUAUUGAGGGAAGAAGUAUUGGGGCAUCUGCCAAGCUGUCCCUGUGCUGUAAAAUCAGCAUUUUGCAAUGCCAAGCCAAGCAAUCAGCCAAAUUUUCCUCUGAAUGUAAUGCAAGCUGCACGUUUCACCCAAGCCUGCUUGAAGAUUCUGGCUAAGAACACAAAGAUGAACAUGGUCUUAAAUUUGGAGUCAUAACAAGAUCUCAACCCAAGUAAGUGAUACAUAUUAUUUAGGAAUGUAUA